Molecule: ribosomal RNA, 253 nt
Filed under: uncultured bacterium
Lineage: Bacteria
Description: partial 16S ribosomal RNA
Rfam family: Bacterial small subunit ribosomal RNA
Source: RNAcentral
UACGUAGGGUGCAAGCGUUGUUCGGAUUCAUUGGGCGUAAAGGGUGCGUAGGUGGCGGGGUAAGUCAGGUGUGAAAUUUCGGAGCUUAACUCCGAAACUGCAUUUGAUACUGCCUUGCUUGAGGACUGGAGAGGAGACUGGAAUUCACGGUGUAGCAGUGAAAUGCGUAGAGAUCGUGAGGAAGACCAGUGGCGAAGGCGGGUCUCUGGACAGUUCCUGACACUGAGGCACGAAGGCCAGGGGAGCAAACGGG